AACGAACGCUGGCGGCAGGCUUAACAUAUGCAAGUCGAACGCAUCCUUCGGGGUGAGUGGCAGACGGGUGAGUAACGCGUGGGAACGUGCCCUUCAGUUCGGGAUAACCCAGGGAAACUUGGGCUAAUACCGGAUACGUGCGAGAGCAGAAAGAUUUAUCGCUGAAGGAUCGGCCCGCGUCUGAUUAGCUAGUUGGUGGGGUAAUGGCCCACCAAGGCGACGAUCAGUAGCUGGUCUGAGAGGAUGAUCAGCCACAUUGGGACUGAGACACGGCCCAAACUCCUACGGGAGGCAGCAGUGGGGAAUAUUGGACAAUGGGCGCAAGCCUGAUCCAGCCAUGCCGCGUGAGUGAUGAAGGGCUUAGGGUUGUAAAGCACUUUCGUCCGGGACGAUAAUGACGGUACCGGAAGAAGAAGCCCCGGCUAACUUCGUGCCAGCCGCCGCCGUAA
Molecule: ribosomal RNA, 449 nt
Filed under: uncultured bacterium
Lineage: Bacteria
Description: partial 16S ribosomal RNA
Rfam family: Bacterial small subunit ribosomal RNA
Source: RNAcentral